UGAUACAAAACGCCAGCUGGAAUGCGGCGUUUCAGAAAGACAUCGCUGAAGGAUGCGGCUGCGGCCGAUUAGGUAGACGGUGGGGUAACGGCCCACCGUGCCAGUAAUCGGUACGGGUGAUGAGAGUCAGAGCCCGGAGACGGAAUCUGAGACAAGAUUCCGGGCCCUACGGGGCGCAGCAGGCGCGAAACCUUUACACUGCACGGAAGUGCGAUAGGGGAAUCCCAAGUGCGAGGGCAUAUUAGCCCUCGCUUUUCUCGACUGUAAGGUGGUCGACGAAUAAGAGCUGGGCAAGACCGGUGCCAGCCGCCGCGGUAAUACCGGCAGCUCAAGUGAUGUCCCAUAUUAUUGGGCCUAAAGCGUCCGUAGCUGGCCGACCAAGUCUACCGGGAAAUCCACCCGCCCAACGGGUGGGCGUCCGGUAGAAACUGGCCGGCUUGGAACCGGAAGGCUCAGAGAGUACGUCCGGGGUAGGAGUGAAAUCCCGUAAUCCCGGACGGACUACCGAUGGCGAAAGCACUCUGAGAAGACGGCUUCGACAGUGAGGGACGAAAGCUCGGGUCUCAAACCGGAUUAGAUACCCCGGUAGUC
Molecule: ribosomal RNA, 591 nt
Filed under: uncultured archaeon
Lineage: Archaea
Description: bacterial SSU rRNA
Rfam family: Archaeal small subunit ribosomal RNA
Source: RNAcentral